This 329-nucleotide unclassified non-coding RNA is filed under the name soil metagenome. RNAcentral describes it as "partial contains 5.8S ribosomal RNA, internal transcribed spacer 2, and large subunit ribosomal RNA". The stretch from base 1 to 120 matches the Rfam family "5.8S ribosomal RNA", at positions 35 to 154 of the family's 154-position model. The record is from RNAcentral.
GAUGAAGAACGCAGCGAAAUGCGAUAAGUAAUGUGAAUUGCAGAAUUCAGUGAAUCAUCGAAUCUUUAAACGCACAUUGCGCCCCCUGGUAUUCCGGGGGGCAUGCCUGUUCGAGCGUCAUUACAACCCUCAAGCUCUGCUUGGUGUUGGGCCCCGCCGCCCCGGCGGGCCCUAAAAUCAGUGGCGGUGCCGUCCGGCUCCGAGCGUAGUAAUUCUUCUCGCUCUGGAGGUCCGGGUGUGUGCUCGCCAGCAACCCCCAAUUUUUUUCAGGUUGACCUCGGAUCAGGUAGGGAUACCCGCUGAACUUAAGCAUAUCAAUAAGCGGAGGA